CCUACGGGCGGCACCAGUGGGGAAUAUUGCACAAUGGGCGCAAGCCUGAUGCAGCCAUGCCGCGUGUAUGAAGAAGGCCUUCGGGUUGUAAAGUACUCUCAGCGGGGAGGAAGGCGAUAAGGUUAAUAACCUUGUCGAUUGACGUUACCCGCUGAAGAAGCACCGGCUAACUCCGUGCCAGCAGCCGCGGUAAUACGGAGGGUGCAAGCGUUAAUCGGAAUUACUGGGCGUAAAGCGCACGCAGGCGGUCUGUCAAGUCGGAUGUGAAAUCCCCGGGCUCAACCUGGUAACUGCAUUCGAAACUGGCAGGCUGGAGUCUUGUAGAGGGGGGUAGAAUUCCAGGUGUAGCGGUGAAAUGCGUAGAGAUCUGGAGGAAUACCGGUGGCGAAGGCGGCCCCCUGGACAAAGACUGACGCUCAGGUGCGAAAGCGUGGGGAGCAAACAGGAUUAGAUACCCCCGUAGUC
This 465-nucleotide ribosomal RNA is filed under the name uncultured bacterium. Its description in RNAcentral is "bacterial SSU rRNA". It matches the Rfam family "Bacterial small subunit ribosomal RNA", at positions 338 to 795 of the family's 1533-position model. The record is from RNAcentral.